AAAGUCGUAACAAGGUCUCCGUAGGUGAACCUGCGGAGGGAUCAUUACCGAGUGACAGGCCUCCGGGCCUGACCUCCAACCCUUUGUGAACACAACCUGGUUGCCUCGGGGGCGCCCCGGCCUUCCCGGCCCCGGCCCCCCGGUGGACCCCUCAACACUGCAUCUUUGCGUCGGAGCGAAUAGCGAAUCAAAUCAAAACUUUUAACAACGGAUCUCUUGGUUCUG
Molecule: unclassified non-coding RNA, 225 nt
Filed under: fungal sp.
Lineage: Eukaryota; Fungi
Description: partial contains small subunit ribosomal RNA, internal transcribed spacer 1, and 5.8S ribosomal RNA
Rfam family: Eukaryotic small subunit ribosomal RNA (bases 1-47)
Source: RNAcentral